AUAUUUCUGACGAGUCUCAAAUAGAACGAAACGCGCGUCCUGGAU
Molecule: non-coding RNA, 45 nt
Filed under: Schistosoma haematobium
Lineage: Eukaryota; Metazoa; Platyhelminthes; Trematoda; Strigeidida; Schistosomatidae
Source: RNAcentral